UACAGAGGUCCCAAGCGUUGUUCGGAUUCACUGGGCGUAAAGGGUGCGCAGGUGGUUUGGCAAGUUUGAUGUGAAAGCCCCGGGCUUAACCCGGGAAUGGCAUUGAAUACUGCUUGGACUGGAGGGUCGGAGGGGGGACUGGAAUUCUUGGUGUAGCAGUGAAAUGCGUAGAUAUCAAGAGGAACACCAGUGGCGAAGGCGAGUCCCUGGACGAUACCUGACACUGAGGCACGAAAGCCAAGGGAGCAAACAGG
RNAcentral lists this ribosomal RNA (254 nucleotides) under uncultured bacterium. RNAcentral's name for it is "partial 16S ribosomal RNA". It matches the Rfam family "Bacterial small subunit ribosomal RNA", at positions 524 to 776 of the family's 1533-position model. The record is from RNAcentral.